GCUGGGCAUGGUGGCACAUGGCCUGUAAUCCCAGCAACUUGGGAGGCUAAGGCAGGAGGAUCACAAGUUCAAGGCCAGCCAAGCAACUUAGUGAGACCCUGUCUCAA
RNAcentral lists this small RNA (107 nucleotides) under Marmota monax (woodchuck). Lineage: Eukaryota; Metazoa; Chordata; Mammalia; Rodentia; Sciuridae. The record is from RNAcentral.